Megalopta genalis is the source of this 6811-nucleotide non-coding RNA. The record is from RefSeq and is a predicted model, not a curated record. NCBI's taxonomy places the organism in Eukaryota, Metazoa, Arthropoda, Insecta, Hymenoptera, Halictidae.
UAUAUGUAUGUAUAUGUAUUAAAGUUCAUAAAAUAUUUUUGAAAACUAUGCAUGAGGGUAGUUGUAGAUGGCGUUUAGAUAUAGACCUUAGAAUAUUCUAAAGUCGACGAGACAGAUGGCUUCAGUUUGGCGUUGGUUUGGCGUUGGCGCGAAUAGUGGUGUGGUUGCUGUGGUUGGUAGGAAUUGUUGGCAAUGGCAACGAUCUUAUAAAUUCAGUUUGAAUUUGAAUUGGAUUCAUUAGAUAUAUGUAAUGAAAUGGCUCCCAUCAGAAAGACUAGGAGUAGCUCAAGGCGAUCUUCUAUUCUUAAGCCUUCUAAACCACGACAGCCAUUACAGAAUUUAAAUGUCACUAGUUUAUCUACUGAAAGUAGUCCAGCAACUACAACAAAGCUUAAACGACGUGUCAGCUUUGCAGAAACAAAACAUGUGAAAGAAUUCUGUAAUUCGUUGGAGCAAGGCACUGUGUGGAAUAAUACGUACGAAGAACAUGAUAUAAGUAAUCUUAAUGUACUAUGCAUUCCUAACAAAGAAUGUGAUGUUGGAAAUGUGUGUAAAACAAAUGUAGAAAUUAGAACAGAUCAUUAUAAUGAAGUAAGGUAUAGUAAUUCUCAAACUGUUGAUAAACUUGCCAUUACGGACACUAGAAUAUGUUUCACUCGUGAUGAAAUAAUUCAAGAAAGUCUGAUUGCAAUAGAUCAUGAAGAAGUUUGUAGAAGUAUAUCCAGGAAAACAGAAUCAACAUACAAACAGCCAACUAAGAAAGAAAUGUUGCUAGAUGCAUCCUCAAUAAUUAAUUGUAAUAUAACAGCACAGAUAAAUGAACAUGCUGUUCUUCCUGGAAAUACUAAUGAUGAUUCCAUGGAAAUUACUACAGUAGUAUCUACUAAACCAUAUACUUUGCAAGAAACCAAUAUGUAUCAACAGGAUACUCGAAAUUUCAAUGAUGUCCCAAAAGAGAUGACUGCUGCAUUAAUUACUGGACUAUGUAAUUUACAAAGAGAAACAUCAUACGCAAAACCCCCAAAAAAUUGCAAUGAUGUUUCAAUGGAGAUGACAACUACAGUACCAACUAUACCAUGUAAUUUGCAAAAAGAAACAUUAUUCGCGGAGCGUACCAAAAAUUUGAAGGAUGUUUCGAUGGAGAUGACGACAGCAGUAUCUACUAAAUUAUGCAGUUUGCAACAAGACACACCAUACGCGGAGUGCACCAAAAAUUUCAAGGAUGUUUCAAUGGAAAUUACUGCUGUUGUACCUACUAAACCAUACAAUUUGCAGCAAGUAGAAUCAAACGCGAUGGACAACAAAAAUUACAAUGAUGUUUCAAUGGAGCUGACAAGCACAGCAUCAAACAUACCAUGUAAUUUGCAAAAAGAAACAUUAUUCGCGGAGCGUACCAAAAAUUUGAAGGAUGUUUCGAUGGAGAUGACGACAGCAGUAUCUACUAAAUUAUGCAGUUUGCAACAAGACACACCAUACGCGGAGUGCACCAAAAAUUUCAAGGAUGUUUCAAUGGAAAUUACUGCCGUUGUACCUACUAAACCAUACAAUUUGCAGCAAGUAGAAUCAAACGCGAUGGCCAACAAAAAUUACAAUGAUGUUUCAAUGGAGCUGACAAGCACAGCAUCAAACAUAGCAUGUAAUUUGCAAAAAGAAACAUUAUUCGCGGAGCGUACCAAAAAUUUGAAGGAUGUUUCGAUGGAGAUGACGACAGCAGUAUCUACUAAAUUAUGCAGUUUGCAACAAGACACACCAUACGCGGAGUGCACCAAAAAUUUCAAGGAUGUUUCAAUGGAAAUUACUGCCGUUGUACCUACUAAACCAUACAAUUUGCAGCAAGUAGAAUCAAACGCGAUGGACAACAAAAAUUACAAUGAUGUUUCAAUGGAGCUGACAAGCACAGCAUCAAACAUACCAUGUAAUUUGCAAAAAGAAACAUUAUUCGCGGAGCGUACCAAAAAUUUGAAGGAUGUUUCGAUGGAGAUGACGACAGCAGUACCUACCAAAUUAUGCAGUUUGCAACAAGACACACCAUACGCGGAGUGCACCAAAAAUUUCAAGGAUGUUUCAAUGGAAAUUACUGCCGUUGUACCUACUAAACCAUACAAUUUGCAGCAAAUAGAAUCAAACGCGAUGGCCAACAAAAAUUACAAUGAUGUUUCAAUGGAGCUGACAAGCACAGCAUCAAACAUAGCAUGUAAUUUGCAAAACGAAACAUUAUUCGUGGGACGUACUAAUAAUUUGAAGGAUGUUUCGAUGGAGAUGAUGACUACAGUACCAACCAUACCAUGCAAUUUACAAAAAGAAGCAUUAUUCGCGGAGCGUACCAAAAAUUUGAAGGAUGUUUCGAUGGAGAUGACGACUGCAGUACCUACUAAAUUAUGCAAUUUGCAACAAGACACACCAUACGCGGAGUGCAUCAAAAAUUUCAAGGAUGUUUCAAUGGAAAUUACUGCUGUUGUACCUACUAAACCAUACAAUUUGCAGCAAGUAGAAUCAAACGCGAUGGCCAACAAAAAUUACAAUGAUGUUUCAAUGGAGGUGACAACUAUAGUACCAACCAUAUCAUGCAAUUUGCAAAAAGGAACAUUACUCGCGGAGCGUACCAAAAAUUUGACGGAUGUUACGAUGGAGAUGACGACUGCAGUACCUACUAAAUUAUGCAGUUUGCAACAAGACACAUCAUACGCAGAGUGCACCAAAAAUUUGAGGGAUGUUUCGAUGGAGAUGACGACAGCAGUACCUACUAAAUUAUGCAGUUUGCAACAAGACACACCAUACGCGGAGUGCACCAAAAAUUUCAAGGAUGUUUCAAUGGAAAUUACUGCUGUUGUACCUACUAAACCAUACAAUUUGCAGCAAGUAGAAUCAAACGCGAUGGCCAACAAAAAUUACAAUGAUGUUUCAAUGGAGGUGACAACUAUAGUACCAACCAUAUCAUGCAAUUUGCAAAAAGGAACAUUACUCGAGGAGCGUACCAAAAAUUUGAAGGAUGUUUCGAUGGAGAUGACGACUGCAGUACCUACUAAAUUAUGCAAUUUGCAACAAGACACACCAUACGCAGAGUGCACCAAAAAUUUCAAGGAUAUUUCAAUGGAAAUUACUGCUGUUGUACCUACUAAACCAUGUAAUUUGCAGCAAGCAAAUUCAAACGCGAAGGCCAACAAAAAUUACAAUGAUGUUUCAGUGCAGAUGACAAGCACAGCACCAACCAUACCAUGCAAUCUGCAAAACGAAACAUUAUUCGCGGGAUGUACUAAUAAUUUGAAGGAUGUUUCGAUGGAGAUGACAACUACAGUACCAACCAUACCAUGCAAUUUGCAAAAAGAAACAUUACUCGCGGGGCGCACCAAAAUUUUGAAGGAUGUUUCGAUGGAGAUGACGACUGCAGUACCUACUAUAUUAUGCAGUUUGCAACAAGACUCACCAUACAUGGAGCAUACUAAAAAUUUCAAAGAUGUUUCAAUGGAAAUGACUGUUGCAGUACCUAUUGAAUCACAUAAUUUACAAGAAGAAGAACCAUACGUGACGUCUAAUAAAAAUCACAAUAAUGUAUCAAUAGAUACGACAACUGCAGUACCAACUAGACCAUGUACUGUGCAAAAAGGAACAUUAUGCAGGGAGCAUACCAAAAAUUUCAAGGAUGUUUCAAUGGAAAUGACUGUUGCAGUUCAAACUAAAUUAUGCAGUUUGCAAAGAGACGCAUCAUCCGAAGCACGUAUCAAAGUCACAUAUGAUUUGCAAGAAGUAAGACAUAACAAUGAUAAAACAUCUACUAUUUGCCAUGAUGCAUCAGUGGAUGUGCUUCAAAUGCAUUCAAGUGAUUUGAAUAUGGAAUCAGAUAAAAACAAAAUAGUUGGCGAUAAUUUAAUGGCAGUCACAGCUGUGGUACCUUUUCUAAAUCAAAUGAAUGUGUCUGAAGAAAGAGUGGAGUAUUGUGACACAAAUAUUCAAAAGUCUGAAGAAGUUGCUGUACCACCUUUACACAAUAUUCCUGAAAGAACUGAUGCUGUUACGAAUUUGUCGGAGGUCAGACAAACAAUACUACCUGAAAAGGUUGACAACAGAACUUCUUCUAGAGAUUCCUUAAAUCAAAUUACUACAUCUGAUAAUGUCCUAAAAGAUAUUACUAUUUUAGUAGUUCCCUCUUUGUUAAAUUCAAGUGAAUCGUCAAAAGAAAAGAAUUGCACAAUAAAUAAAUCAGAAAACUCGGAAGAUAAAAUUAUCAAGGAACCUACUUCAAGUGAACUUCCAAAUCUAGUAAAUAUUGAAACUCACACGGCUAUGCAUGAUUCGUUGAUGCAAGAUAUUUGUGCUUCAGCUUUAAAUAAAGAUAACACAGGGUCAGCUUGUGCUACACUUAACACUGCAUCAAAUGAUUUCCUAUGCACUGUAAUGCCAGAUGUUAGUCAAGGAACAUUCUUGUCACAUGAACACUCACAAGAUAUUUUACCACAUCCUCGAAGAACUUACACUAUAAAACCAUUAAGCAUCGAUCAUUCUUUCCCAAAUACUAGUAAUGAACAUAGUAAGAAUUUGGGAACGAGUCACGAUGUUCAAGAUGUAAAUAGUUUCCAGACUCAAGCUUCAUUCGAAAAUUGUAGCACAUUCUUUGAUAGAACUGUAGAGCAAUUGGAGUCAAUUAAGCCACCGUCGUUUCUUUGCUUAGAUAACUCUGUUGAAGAUGUAUCUGUGAAUACUAAUUACGGCCAGGAGGUUGAAACAGAAAAAGAAAUUGUCUCAUCUUUAAACAUUAUUGAGGGUUUACCUGGAGUAACUAAAUGCCGAGAAACUCAAAAACUUGAUCUGCAAGAAGUUGUAAAUGAAUCUGGAAAGCAAAAUAGUCUAGAAACGUCACAUUUUCGACUAUUACAUGGCGGUAGUCCUAGCACAAUAGUUAAAGAUUUGGAAUGUUCCUCGUCAACAAUGAAUAAUAACCAGAUAAUUUCCACAACAAUUAAUGUUAUCAGUCCAUCUCGAAAUGAAGAUACGCACAGUAAUUCUAAUAUAGAGAAUGAAACUAUGGAACAGUCUGUCGUGGAUAAAGAUCUUUGUAAAGCUUACACUGAAGAAAAUCAUCUUCAAAGUGAUGAACUUAAAUUACACAAAAUUACAAUGGAAAUAGAGUUGGAAGAAAUUGAUCCACAAGCUUCUCUUGUAGAUAAAGAUGUCACAAUUGAACUAGAUCCAUUUUCUUCAUUGUUGAAGGAACUACGUGCUUGUGCUGAAAGUGAUAAUAUUAUUUGGGAAAUAUACCAUGAAAAUAUUGAGAAGAAAAUGUUCAUAGCAGGAUUUAUGUCUUGUUCUCUAUUAUUAGUAAUAUAUUUGAGAGAUGAUUAUGAUGAUGUCUUAGGUAGUCAAUUUAUUAAAGAUGUUAAGAUGAUUUCUCGUUUGGCAGAUGAUGCGGGCGAUUUAAUAAGUAUAGUUCACAAGCUAAUUUUAGAAAAAAUAGACGUCAGAAAAUUAAUUGAUUUGUAUAAAAGUGUUAAUGAUAUUCUAUUAAUGUUGGAUCAUGUAUCAAAGGAAGUAAAACUAGCCAUGGAAUUCAUGUUUGAACUGGACCGAUUGAAAGAUAGAAAUUUAAUGGACAUAACGCGGGAUAGUGUAUCUUUUGUUUCUCUUACUAAAAAGAUGGAUAUUAUAUUGAGGGUAACAGUGAUUCUUAAACCAUUUGAAAACAUUGAAUCUGAGGAUAUCAGUGUACAAUUUUUAUCAGGCUCAUCAGGCUCUGUGAGAGAGGAAGUAAUUAAAAAGUUACUGAAGAAUAUAAAAAAGGAUCAUAAUUUUUUGAGAAGGUUCAUCAAUGAUGUGCGAGAUUAUAUAUACUUGAUGGAGGUGUGUGAUGCUCCAACUAAAGUGCCAUACUAAUGUGCCUGCUGCAAUAAUUGUAAAUGCAAUAAUUGAACGGAAAAUAUUCGUAACUUGAGGAACGCGUUAAUUUUAUUAUAUUAUUUUAAUAUCAUUAUGUUAUUGCAGUUGGACUGCAUAAUAAAAUAUUUUAUAAUUUUCGAACAAACUACUUGUAGAUUUAAUAUAUUGGUCAGAAGAUCAUAGACUAUUCUUUGUUGCUCAAAUUACUUUAGGAAUCACAACAGCAUCCUACCUUUUAAAUAUCCGCUCGUAAAAUCGAGCUACUGGCUUGAAGUUACGAGUAAAGGUCGAUCAACUAGCUGACUGGUAGCCGGUUCAGUCGAAGCAGCUUUUUGUGGAAGCAUUUGCGGCCCUUUCGAUAGUAUCGUGUGAACAGCCACUUCCAUUCGCAGAAUCAUUUGAGUUUCUGCUUUGUUCUUUGAGAUUCUUGACUAUUUUUAGCCUUAAAAGGAACAGACCGAGUCAUCCGGAGGAUUUUAAGAACGACUACCAAGGCGUUCGAUUGAUGCAGACAUCAUCUUCGACCGCUGUUCAAGCCAUUACAUAAACCGUGAAUUUACGAACUAAAUUCCUGGGAAAUUUGUAUACAAUGAACCCCUCGAUCAAGCUGUCACGGGGACCACGGGGAGCCGCUUCUCCUUGGCCUUUCUUGUCCUGCAAAAAUUACUUUUGUUCCAGUCGAAGCGAGCCGCCUGGUUCAAUGGCAUCUGGGAGAAGCAUUCUUCAUCUUCGAUUUCUGCUUCCGUAAAAAGACUAUCUUUACGCCCAAUAAUCGUUCUGUCUUCUUUCCUCAAGCGUCGUCGUAUCUUUCAGAUAUUUUCGAAGUCGCAUCGCCGCGUAAAUCAUUGUGCAAAAACAGUGAUUAUAUGCGGAGGACUGGAAUCUACGAAACUUCCGGUAAACGCGGAGAAACUAAGAGAUUGCUGGAGCAAGGAGAGAGAAA